Long non-coding RNA from Capsicum annuum, 1325 nucleotides. RefSeq lists it as uncharacterized. The transcript is spliced from 2 exons. NCBI's taxonomy places the organism in Eukaryota, Viridiplantae, Streptophyta, Magnoliopsida, Solanales, Solanaceae. The record is from RefSeq and is a predicted model, not a curated record.
CAUUUUUAUUCCUUUUCCAUAACAAAAUGGGUCCCACAGGGAACCAAUAGAAGAAAAAUAACAAAAUAAAGGGGAGAAAAUAUAUCCACAAACAGGGACACGGACAAGGAGACAAGAAAAAGCAAAAAAAAAAAAAGAAUAUGCAAAGGAAGAGGGGCCCACAGUGAAAGAUAAUAACCUUCUUCUUUUUCUCUUUUCAAUUCCACACAAUUCAUAAACCUGACCACAUAUAUACAUAUACAGAGAUCACGCCAUAAAGGGGGAGAACAUGCACCAUCAUCUUCUUCCAUCAUACACGUACACACAUCACCCAUAUUUUUCCAUGGAUUAACACCAUACGCACACACAACAAACAAAAUCACGCACAUACUCGAAGAUCGACAACACGCACAGUAAAGAGAAGCAAGUCAUGGAGGGUGUUUGACGGAAUUCUGGUUUUCGGGUUCGAUCGGAUUUACGGAGCUUCAGGUUUGACUGUCUUUGUGGUUUAUUCUCGAAAUCGGGUUUCAGAUCCCUCGGUUUUUGUUCCUAUUUUGGGGUUUAGUUUUCAGUGUGUCUCGACCAGUUUUGCGUCUCAAAUUCCUUAAUACGGAGUUGGAGUUCAUCAUUGAGAGUUUGGAGUUGGAUUUCAUCGCUGUGGAGAUUCUCUAUUCAGGGUUUCGGGUUCGGAGUUCUUCAACCCGUUAUUAUCAACGAAAAUCAAUUAUUGAGGUCCAAUUCUAUUUUUUCUCCCUUUAAUUUUUUUACGUAAUCAUGAAUGAUUUGUAUGUUUUGGUAUGCUUGAAUCUUGAUUGUGUAUUGGUGGAUGUUGGAUUUGAAAACUUGAAUUGAUAAUAGAAGUACGUGUUAAUCACGGGUUAGUGGAUUCGGGGGAUUGAAAUUUGAUAAAAGAUGAAUAAUUUAGUUGUUUUGAUUCAUUGUUAUUGUUACUUCGCGUAUAAUUGUCAAUUCCUCGAUAAUAUUAUGAUAGAUCGAGCGGGGUAGGCAAACAGUAGGCUUGGAUAGACAAAAAUUAGAAUUUGUGGAUUGUUGAGUAAUGUGGAAUGUUGAAUGAUUUUCUUUUCUCGCAUUUGGAAAUGUAUUCAUUUAGCCGGGGAAUGCCUCGAGGGAUUUGUAUUGAUUUAUCUGAGGAAUGCCCCGAAGUAUCUUGUACUUGAAGAUGGUGCACAGUCAAGGCCCGGAACGUCGGGUGGAGUUUGGUUUAGGAUUAGUGUAGGAUCAGUUUAGAAUAAAGUAGGUUUAUAUUUCCGUAUUUUUUUAUUUUGGACUGUAUAAUUGGACUGGACACUAUAUUUUGGAUUUAUUUUAUUUUGUGUGUUUGAUUG